This 255-nucleotide ribosomal RNA is filed under the name uncultured bacterium. RNAcentral's name for it is "partial 16S ribosomal RNA". It matches the Rfam family "Bacterial small subunit ribosomal RNA", at positions 99 to 354 of the family's 1533-position model. The record is from RNAcentral.
CGGACGGGUGAGUAACGCGUGGAAAACCUGCCGUAUACUGGGGGAUAACACUUAGAAAUAGGUGCUAAUACCGCAUAAGCGCACAGCUUCGCAUGAAGCGGUGUGAAAAACUCUGGUGGUAUACGAUGGCUCCGCGUCUGAUUAGCUAGUUGGUGGGGUAAUGGCCUACCAAGGCAACGAUCAGUAGCCGGCCUGAGAGGGUGAACGGCCACAUUGGGACUGAGACACGGCCCAAACUCCUACGGAAGGCAGCAG